This 460-nucleotide ribosomal RNA is filed under the name uncultured bacterium. RNAcentral describes it as "partial 16S ribosomal RNA". It matches the Rfam family "Bacterial small subunit ribosomal RNA", at positions 338 to 795 of the family's 1533-position model. The record is from RNAcentral.
CCUACGGGGGGCAGCAGUGAGGAAUAUUGGUCAAUGGACGAGAGUCUGAACCAGCCAAGUAGCGUGAAGGAUGACUGCCCUAUGGGUUGUAAACUUCUUUUAUAAAGGAAUAAAACGAGGCACGUGUGCCUUUUUGCAUGUACUUUAUGAAUAAGGAUCGGCUAACUCCGUGCCAGCAGCCGCGGUAAGACGUAGGGGGCAAGCGUUAUCCGGAAUUACGGGGUGUAAAGGGAGCGUAGAUGGGUUGUUAAGUCAGUUGUGAAAGUUUGCGGCUCAACCGUAAAAUUGCAAUUGAUACUGGCAGUCUUGAGUACAGUUGAGGUAGGCGGAAUUCGUGGUGUAGCGGUGAAAUGCUUAGAUAUCACGAAGAACUCCGAUUGCGAAGGCAGCUUACUAAACUGCCACUGACAUUGAUGCUCGAAAGUGUGGGUAUCAAACAGGAUUAGAUACCCGUGUAGUC